Long non-coding RNA from Mustela erminea (ermine), 1077 nucleotides. RefSeq lists it as uncharacterized. NCBI's taxonomy places the organism in Eukaryota, Metazoa, Chordata, Mammalia, Carnivora, Mustelidae. The transcript has 3 exons. The record is from RefSeq and is a predicted model, not a curated record.
CAAACCAGAUGGGGGACGUUGAUGAUGGGUUCCUGACCGAGACCACACAAGGGGCCUGAAGGCGAGACACCCACCGUUGGGGGGCGCCACCAGCUGGACGGCCGCACAGAACUUCUGAACCAACUCCUGACUUGCCUGGCUGGCCGGUUCACCUCUUGUAAGAUUGAACAGUGACAGGAAGGAUCGCUACUCGGGAGUUAAUUCAAACCAGGAAGGAGGAGCUACUGGUGAGAGAGCGGAUGGGGACUUGGGAGUUUCAGAGUGCCUCGGUAUCCCUGUGUGGUUCCUGCCACCUGUCAGCAUCUCUGCGCGUGUCGUCUGCAUUGAAGUCUGUUCAUCAGCCUCUCCGGGGGUGAAGGUUAUCUCCUGGCACCUGACAGAUACCAGGGAGGGCAUAAACAGCUGGCCUUCUGGAGAUGACGAUCCAUUCCUCCACUGCUUGAAGGAGAAGAGAAGGAGCUGGGAUAGGCACAGCACCCACUACCUAUGGGGCAUGUUCUCAGUGCUCGUGUCCUUCAGCCCUUUCCCUACUCCACCAUUGUAGCUGUAUCCCGGGGCUAGAAGGAUGCCUGGCACAUAGUAGGUGCUCACAAAAUCAUUACUGGAUGUGCUGAUGAAGGUACAGGUACAGUCAGUGAACUGCAAAUGUGGGAUUGGAAUCUGAGACUCAGAAGGCAAGUUUUAAGUCUUCCACAUUGUCAUCACUCUGCUUACCCCCAAACCGAUACCUAGACAUGUACAUUUAUUGAGCCUCGACCGUGCGUCCAUCUCUGUUGUUGGUGUGUUUGUGAGCAACCGAGAUAAUGUUCUUUAUGUUCCUCUAGAACUUAAAUCAUUUUUCCUAAAAUAUUUUAAUGUUGAAUUUCUUUUAUCUAAUGGAUUUUAAUGUGGUUAUGCCUGCUGUGCAUGUCGGGUGGAGUUUUUACCCCUGUGUCCCCUUAAAGGUAACCCCCUGCCUGUACCCAUGUGUCUCAGAUCUCAUGGGGACACUUGCUACCUCUUGUGCCAUGAUGGCAGCCACUGCCCUGACCUACAACUUCAGGCACAGCUCAGGGCUGCCCAGCUCAUUUUCCUUAA